This 87-nucleotide transfer RNA is filed under the name Pseudomonas putida. RNAcentral's name for it is "tRNA-Tyr". It matches the Rfam family "tRNA". Rfam says of the family: Transfer RNA (tRNA) molecules are approximately 80 nucleotides in length. Their secondary structure includes four short double-helical elements and three loops (D, anti-codon, and T loops). The record is from RNAcentral. Lineage: Bacteria; Pseudomonadati; Pseudomonadota; Gammaproteobacteria; Pseudomonadales; Pseudomonadaceae.
GGAGGGAUUUCCCGAGCGGUCAAAGGGGACGGACUGUAAAUCCGUUUGCGAGAGCUUUCGAAGGUUCGAAUCCUUCUCCCUCCACCA